This is a long non-coding RNA of Carcharodon carcharias (great white shark), 855 nucleotides long. RefSeq lists it as uncharacterized. The record is from RefSeq and is a predicted model, not a curated record. The transcript is spliced from 3 exons. NCBI's taxonomy places the organism in Eukaryota, Metazoa, Chordata, Chondrichthyes, Lamniformes, Lamnidae.
GCUGAUGUUGGUUUGUUGGGAUCUGAUCAUCAGUUAAAAGCUGGAUACUCUGCAGCAGGUUGGAGUGGAAAUUUCCACUCUGCGAUUUCUGGGGUUUUGCGGGGAGGAGCUGCUUUUGAGUAGAAAGAUAAACAGCUGGUCCGCAUAUUGAUGUGAAUGCGUUUACCAAGUGAUUUGAAACGCUACGCUGGAUAUUGAUUGGAAAUGUAACGGGAUGUUAAAUUUUAAUCCUCUCGAGCGAGUCGUGUAACAUAUUGGCGUUUCACUGGUCAUAAAGUUAAAAUGGCAAAACGAAAACAUCGGGACAAUGCAUUCCCCGGCUCUUAUUUUUAAAGCGAUCCUUUAUGAGCUUUUCCUGCCGGCUCGAACGGAGUGAGCGGUCAGGAAUUGUUUGGGACUAACUCGAGAGGAGGGAUUGGCAAAUGUAGGAUUUUUUUUUGUGCUUACUUUGAAGCGACAUUCUUCUGAGCUGGUCUGGGUCAAAACAGAGAACAAAUGUAUCUGUCUGUACUUAAAAGUUGAAAUCCUUGGAUGCUCGCGCUGCUUGAAAGAUGCCUGGGAAGAUUUGGUUUGACAAUACGAUGCCGUCAGACUGCAGGUUUUUCCAGCGUUUUCUGUUUUUAUACCUAAUUUAUACUGCCUGGCUCCAUUUACAAUGUCCCCGCUCUGGAGAAAACUCUGCCAUUAAAAUUGGAGAGCACGAUUAGGUUCGCCUACAUUUGGAUCAUAGAGAGUUUUAGCACAGAAGGAGGCCAUUUGGUUGUUCAUGUCUUUGCUGGCCCAAAAAGAGCAAUCCAGCCUAACCCCACUUUCCAGCUCUUGUCCCUUGACCUUGAAGUUUACAGCAUAUCAGGU